AAGCUUUCGUCUCGUGGGUGCGAAAGGUAACCGAAGCGGCUCAGGAAGGCAGCUGUCACUGAGCCCCUGGAACAGAGCGAGAGUAUCCCGAAACCUCCAUAGUCACCACUUCACUUCACCUCUUUCUGGAAACCAGGAGAACAAUAUGGUCGACCUAUCAGUGGGCAAAAAGAGGUGCAUGGCAUGGCCCAGCCAAGUCAGAACAACUACUGGAAAGCCAUGGAAGGCAUCUUCAUGAAGCCCAGUGAGUUGUUGAAGGCAGAAGCCCACCAUGCAGAGCUGUGAAUCUAGAGGCUCUGAGCCACUGUUAACGCACAAUGUUCACAGACAUCUGUUGCUGCCUCACCUUGGGAUCCCUGCCACAAGUUCCUUGGGCAGUGGCCAUGUCACCAUUGAGAUGAAGAUAUACAACAGAAAAUAGUGGCUGUGUUUGGAAGCUUCAGCCCUGCACAUUUGAACUAGUCACUCUCCCAGACUUGCGUGGGUCAGUUCUUUCUGAGUAGAGGACUUGCUGGUAAAGGGGCAGAUGCU
Molecule: long non-coding RNA, 531 nt
Filed under: Homo sapiens (human)
Lineage: Eukaryota; Metazoa; Chordata; Mammalia; Primates; Hominidae
Description: non-protein coding lnc-SDF2-3:4
Source: RNAcentral